Monomorium pharaonis (pharaoh ant) is the source of this 4633-nucleotide long non-coding RNA. RefSeq lists it as uncharacterized. Lineage: Eukaryota; Metazoa; Arthropoda; Insecta; Hymenoptera; Formicidae. The transcript is spliced from 2 exons. The record is from RefSeq and is a predicted model, not a curated record.
CACUUCGAAAACUCACAAAAUUUGCGAAAAAAAACAAACAGAGCGUUUUCUAAUUUAUUUCAUGCAACUUUUUAACUUUUAACUUUUACGCUAUCGGCAUUUUUUAUUAAAAUGUUUUUUUUUUUCAAAAAUUUACUUAUAUAAAUAACAUAUACGUAUUAUGCAAAAUUUCGAAUUUUGGUCAGAGCCACAAAAGUGGUUUCUUCGCCACUUAAAAAAAAAAAAAAGAAUGGAAAUGUCUGCUCGGGUGAGAAUUUUUGUUAGUAUUUUUCACAUAAUUUUUCAAAAUUUCCGUAUAAUUUUCAAACUUUAUAGAAAUUUUAUUAGACCUUUUUUACACGAACUGAAACACUUCUAGAAUUCAUUACAUAUGCUGAUCAAUUCUGAAAUAUUCUAAGAGUCUAUUCUCAUUUUGAAGAAAACUUGGAAAAUUUACAGAAAUUUGUUUUUCUUUUAGGACGACGUUUAAAAAUAAAGAAAAGUCAACGGUUUGAAAAUAACGCAAGUCCAACGCAAAUUAUUCGACGACACUCGUAUUAUACGAGGUGAGCUGAGGUGAUGUGACUCGAGAUAAGUUGACAGUCAGUAACGUUUGUCCACCUGGACAGGUCUUUGUCUGCUUGGACUGACGUUGUCAGAAUCGCGCGCGAUGUACAAUGCACGUACCAUUAUUUGCGCUACGAUAUUCGCGCCGCGUGUGAUUCGUAAUGACACGUUGACGGCCGUGCGCGACAAUAGAAUGAGGAAGAGGAAGACGGACCUCUGUUAACAUUAUUAGAUAUCUCGAUGAUGUAACUGGCGUAUGCAUCGCUUAUACGCGUACAUCGUCAUGCCGCCGUUAUUCUUUCAUUUUGCAAUAAAGACAAGAGCGCUAAUUGCGCAUUUGUUGAUUUUUUUAUAGUCGAACAACAACCGGGCGCGUCGUGCAGCCGCCCGCCGAAUCGCAUUUGUCAAUCGCGCGGAUAUUACGCGCGAGGAGCUCGCGUUCUCGAGUAUCGAUGGGACGAUUGUUCCACUUACGGGGACCCUCGUUAUCUUACGCAACGCGGACGAUUAUGUCAUUCGCCCGAGAGUGUCGCACCUCAUUGAACCUAGAUUAUGUCACGCGGCGCGUAUUGCACUUACGCGGAUGAGAGAGGAGAGGGUUCACGAGCGCAGGGACAUCGGCGGCUGGAAGGCAACUUCCGCUCGCGAGCGUUAUCUCAAUCUUGAGCUACCAUUGAUGGUCGUCGCGGCGGCGCGCGGCGACGCUUUCACCAGGCCGUACCGGUCGUUCGCUGUGCGGAAAACGUUGCAUACGCAACACGCGCGUGGCCGUCGAUCGAUUGUCAGUUUGAGUGCGCUGUCUGGUAAACAGGUAGAGCGCAUUAAGUCGUUCUGUUCGCGAUUUGUCGGGAUCAAUGAGCGUGGCACGAGAGAGCGUUAACGUUAAGUUAUUCACUUGCGGAAACGCAAGUCGGUAGUGCCGACUUGAAACGUCCUUAUCGCGGAAAAAAAGUGGUUCGCGAAGCGAUCGAUUUCUGCACGAAGAUAAGAGGAAAUUGAAGAUCCGAUGACAUCUCUCUCUCUCUCUCUCUCUCUCUCUCUCUCUCUCUCUCUCUCUCUCUCUCUCUCUCUCUCUUUCUUUCACCGUAACGUUGUGAAAUUAAGACCGGAGUUUCUCAUUAUCGUUCAAGGUAAAUUAUCCGAGUUAAUUAUAUUUUCAACGACCGGCAUCGGGAAUGGGAUAUCUCGUAGUGGAGGGGAAGGAAGGAAGGAAGGAGGAGGAGGAGGAGGAGGAAGAGAAGGAAAGACGGAAUGCAACGAGAGGAGCAAAGAUAAUUCGAAACCUGUUGCGGAACGAAUAUGGGCAACCGCGUGGAAUGUCGUAUACGGUAUUUUCUGCAUUCCCCAAACGAGCAGCUGCGUACCGAGGGGGAGCUUCUCUUUCCCGAUCUCCGUUUCGAUCGGCCGUUUCAAUGAGUCACGCAUAAUGGACACGGUGUAAACGUGGUGCGCUCCGCGCCGCUUUAUUUCGCCGUUCGACGAAAAGUUGUGUACGGAAACAAAUUGCUCUAUCACGUCAGAGAUGUUUUGAAGAAAUUUGCAGUCAAAAUUGCAAAAAAAGGGCUGUUCCAGUGGGCACUCUGGCAUGUUGUAAUGCGAUAUGCAUUCGGGCUGCUCGAUCGAACGAUUGCUCACGGCCUUUUUUUGCUUCCGCAUCUCCGCUUUCCCUCUACUUCCGCAGCGCAUAUCCUAGAGGCGAAACGCGUUCAAACGUUCGUCGUGACUUACUUUUAUUAUGUCUUUCAGUAAACGACAUUGAUGCGGUAAUUGCCGCGUUACGUUAGGAAAGUCUCGUGUGUUAAUGUCAAUCUCUCUCUCGAUUCGGUUGUUUCUUUAUCAAUCGCUCGCGUUGCACAUGGUGACGAUCGCAGUACAGAGGAUCAAGAUUACAGUCGUGAUAGAUCUCGAGCUCUGUUCUCGGUUCGUUCGAAAAUUACAGAGAUUGUUUUUUUUUUCCGUGCCUUUUAUUGCUCGCGGUGCUCUCGGCUCUCGGAAGCUGUCACGAGGUGGGUCGAAAGAAAACCGGUUUUCUCUUUCUCCUCCCCCCCGCCCUCCCCACCCUUCUUUCUUUCUCUUUCUUUUCUUCUUUCUUUCUUUCCUUCGGUCGAGUCCCGCAUUUCACCGUUUUGCUUUGGGUAUUAAAUAAUUAUUAUUUCGAAAGCGGACAAGCGUAUAUGUAACCGCGGCGCCAGUCGACAUGAGGAAAGGAGAGGCGCCGUGUAUAUAAUUGUGUGACCCAGAUUCGGCGUCCUUCCCUGCGGCAAUGCUGUACCAUUUCCUGUAUAUCCCUCGCGUUCUCUCUUUCAUCUCUCUCUCUCUCUCUCUCUCUCUCUCUCUCUCUCUCUCUCUCUCUCGUUUCCGGCAAGUUCGUCUAGGCUCUCACGAUUGCAACGAUGCGGUAAUUCUACGCUGAGCUCCUUAUUUCGGAACGGAUGCUCGAACGCAACAGGAAUUCCGGGGAAAAAAUCUUCAUAUCAAGGAUCAAAUUACAGAUUAAGUUAUAUCGGAGCAGAUCUAAUUCUAUCAAUCGGUUUGUAAAAUUAGAUCUGCUCUGAUAUAAUUUGAUCUAUUUUAAUGUGAAGAUUUUUAUAUAUCUACGAAACGUGAUCUUCCGUCUCGUGUUAUGAUACAACCGAUGCGAACAACGACGAACCGUCGCGUUUCCUCGCGACACGAAAACGACAUCACCCCCCCCGGAUAAUUUUUUCGGUCUUCAUCUCGUCUUUUCUUUCUCGCAGUACAUUUUCCGAUAUAUCUUUACGAUUUUCCUCUCUUACGCGAGCAACCGGACGCCGUAACUGAUUGCACAGGAAACAUAUCGCACGCACUUUGUCGCUCCGCAGAAACCAAGUGUUUUUUUUUUGCGGCAUUCGCAUCGCUUACGAGUCCAUAUAUCGAUUCCCAUGUCGCACGAGAAAGCGAUCUUGAACCUGAAACCGAUUUGGAAUUGUUGCACAAUCUCGAUUAGAAAUGACGCGUUGCGACAUGACACUCGCAGAUUUUUUCGCAAGAACGUAGCAUCGGGCAUGUUCCUCCAUUAAUUAAUUCGCACGUAAUCAUCUGGGACAAUCUAAACGAGCUUGACAUAAUUAAAUAAUGGACAGACUGUUUCGAAAAUGUCAAAAUCCUGAGGGGGUGAAAGUUUACGAGAGAAACAUAUUUUUAUUUUGUAUAUAACUGAUAUUAAAAUAUCAUUUAUCAUUUAUCAUUCGAUUGAUUAGUCAUCAAUUAACUGUUAUGUGCACACCCAGCGUUUACCACGUUGUUACACACCCAGAGUACCUGGGUGCCCACCAUUAGUUUUUCUUAAUUCCUGACUUUGUAUGUGAACGUAAUCGUUUGGAAUCAAUUUACUUUAUUAAAUAAACAUCAAUAGAAACUAUCUAAGCCAUUUCCAAGUCUCCCAGCCUGUUACAGCUUUCAAGAAAAAAAAAAUAGAAGUAGGGUCUCCGAGCGCUGCGCAGGUAGCGCGCGGUCAGUUUUGACGAAAUGUCGAUUGAUAUUGAAUUAUCGAGUAGUUAAUAUUUAGAGCAUAUACUCCAAAUAAAAUCGAUUAUUAUGUGUAGACACAGUUAAAUCGACAUCUACAGGUUUUUCAGCUGCAUGCUCAUUCAUUAAACUUAACGCAAAUGUGUUUGCGCGUAUGUUAGUUGUGUUAGGACUUGUUCUAUGAUUUUGUACUGUAAAGCAAUUGACAAUUAGCAAUUAGUUAUUAUUUUAUAAAGCGAAGAUAUCACAUCAGGUAGAAUAAUUCACAGCAUACGAACAGCGUCGCAACAGCAUAUUUUUUGUAAUAGUUAGUUUUUACAAUUUUUACACAUUACCUAUGCAAAACUAUUUCUUUAUGCAGAUAUAUCGGAAAUAAUAAAUAUUAAUUAAUUUAAAACCUGUUUAUUUUACACAACAUUAAUGUUAAUAUUAAUAGUAAAAACAAACUAUAAUGAUGCCAAUUAAUUUGACGAAAUGUUUGCGAAUUUUAACCGACUCAACCUCGAGACAGUAUUGGUAGAAAACAAAAUAAUUAUAAUUAUUAAUUAUAAUUGAUUAAAUGUAUUGAUUGCACUAAAUAAAUGUAAGUAUAAUCUAA